AAGGACGCGACUAACCGCGAAAGUCUUCGGGGAGCCGUAAGUAGGCUUUGAUCCGGAGGUCUCCGAAUGGGGGAACCCAGCAUGUGCAGACAUGCUAUCCUUAAGUGAAUACAUAGCUUAAGGAGGGAACACGCAGUGAACUGAAACAUCUAAGUAGCUGCAGGAAGAGAAAGAAAUAUCGAUUUCCCAAGUAGCGGCGAGCGAACAGGAAAGAGCCCAAACCGGCAGAUUUAUCUGCCGGGGUUGUAGGACUGAGACAUGGCACUUCAGAGGAUAGCAGAAGCGUUUGGGAAAGCGCGCCAGAGAGGGUGAGAGCCCCGUAAGCGAAAUCCAAAGGAGGCCUAUCAGUAUCCUGAGUAGGGCGGGACACGUGAAAUCCCGUUUGAAUCCGCGAGGACCAUCUCGCAAGGCUAAAUACUAACCAGUGACCGAUAGUGAACCAGUACCGUGAGGGAAAGGUGAAAAGAACCCCGGGAGGGGAGUGAAAGAGAACCUGAAACCGUGUGCCUACAAGUAGUCAGAGCCCGUUAACGGGUAAUGGCGUGCCUUUUGUAGAAUGAACCGGCGAGUUGCGUUAGUCAGCAAGGUUAAGUCAGAAAAGACGGAGCCGUAGCGAAAGCGAGUCUGAAGAGGGCGAGCAGUUGGCUGACGCAGACCCGAAACCAAGUGACCUACCCAUGACCAGGUUGAAGGCGCGGUAAAACGCGCUGGAGGACCGAACCCACGUAAGUUGAAAAUUGCGGGGAUGAGUUGUGGGUAGCGGUGAAAUUCCAAACGAACUUGGAGAUAGCUGGUUCUCUCCGAAAUAGCUUUAGGGCUAGCCUCGCAAAGAGGAUGCUGGAGGUAGAGCUCUGUUUGGACUAGGGGCCCGUCAAGGGUUACUGAAUUCAGAUAAACUGCGAAUUCCAGACAUUUAUGUGCGGGAGUCAGACUGCGAGUGAUAAGAUCCGUAGUCGAAAGGGAAACAGCCCAGAUCACCAGUUAAGGUCCCAAAAUUCAUGCUAAGUGGAAAAGGAUGUGGAGUUGCGCAGACAACUAGGACGUUGGCUCAGAAGCAGCCAUCAUUCAAAGAGUGCGUAAUAGCUCACUAGUCGAGUGACGCCGCGCCGAAAAUUUACCGGGGCUAAGCAUGAUACCGAAACUGUGGAUGUGCGUUUAUGCACGUGGUAGGAGAGCGUUCUAGCGGCGGUGAAGCAUGACUGAGAAGACAUGUGGAGCUUCUAGAAGUGAGAAUGCCGGUAUGAGUAACGAAAGACAGGUGAGAAUCCUGUCCGCCGCAAGACUAAGGUUUCCUGGGGCAGGCUCGUCCGCCCAGGGUAAGUCGGGACCUAAGGCGAGGCCGAGAGGCGUAGUCGAUGGACAACAGGUUGAAAUUCCUGUACUGCACCGAAUCGUUAUGAGCGAUGGAGGGACGCAGGAGGCUAGCAGCGCGUGGUGCUGGAUACCACGUUCAAGCGUCAAGUCUGAGAG
RNAcentral lists this ribosomal RNA (1470 nucleotides) under Lactobacillus delbrueckii subsp. bulgaricus. RNAcentral's name for it is "partial 23S ribosomal RNA". It matches the Rfam family "Bacterial large subunit ribosomal RNA", at positions 52 to 1531 of the family's 2925-position model. Lineage: Bacteria; Bacillati; Bacillota; Bacilli; Lactobacillales; Lactobacillaceae. The record is from RNAcentral.